AUGUCUUCGCCGAGCAGAGUGGGAGGAGGAGUUCAGGUAGGUGAUUGCAGUGCUCAUAAUGAUACACGAAUUGGCUCUCGUUGUCCUGGUGGUAAGGAUCAUGGUGGCAAGGGAGGACAUCAAGUGAAUUUGCCGAUUGAAUGUUCUCCCACAAGUGUGUCCCCUCCUUCUGUGUCUGUUUUCCAUGCUGGGGCGCCUGGGUUUGAGGAGUCUGUUGAUGGUACAGAGGAAGUUACACAGGAAUGGAUGGCCUCGGAACAACUUCGUGAAUAUGAGUUGAAGCAAAGCAAGAAGAAGUUGAGGUUUGAAAGUGACUCAAAAGAGUUUGCGGAGAAGGAGAAGCAGAGGAGAGCUGCAGAUGGUGCCAAGGGUGCCAAAUUUGCCAAGAAUCUUGGCAAGAGAACUGCUGAAGCUGGUGGAAAGGAUGAUCCUCAGCGCAAGCGACUACAUGUCACUGAAGGUCCCAACGCUGAUGAUGAUGACUUUGUGCUUGCUGAUUUUGUGAGGGAUGUCCAUAGUGGUAGACGCAAAGACUGUGGUUCAUCUAAGAGUCUACCCAAGCGCGCCCGUGAUGAUGUCGAUGAAGAUGUUAGUGGUGACUCUGGCGAGGAGGUGGAUGUUGUUCCAAAGAGGAAGAAGUCUAGGGUUCUUCGAAUCAAUCGUGAUGCAGUUCAUCACAUUUUUGAUUUACCCAUGGGACGUCACACUGCACCCAUGCCUGCUGCCAGCGGCCAUGAUGACUCGUUGACUGCCCUCAAGGAUGAGCUUGGCUUUGACCGUUCAAAAAUUAUAGGUGUCAAGGACUUGCUUGAGAAGUUGAAGGUGUUGGUGGAGGAAGAUGAUCAUGUGACUGUUGACCUUGCUGUGAAGGUGUUCUUCCUUAUACUUUACCAGAAUUUGUUGUGCCCCGGGCCUGCAGUUCGUUUGGGUACAGUUGUUGCAAUGGUAGAGAACAUGGAUUAUGCGGCUAUGGCUCAGAUGGACUUUUGCCAGCUUGUUGUUGAUGAGUUGCAGGCAGCUGUGGUGAGGUGGCAAACAGAAGGCAGCAAGCAGAAUUAUGCAGAGGGUUGUGCCAUUGCCCCCCUGAUUAUGUAUAUUGACUGCUUGAAGCUUCGGAAAUUUUUAGUCAUGCACACGUUGACGCCACGUGCGUCAUACCUGACGACCAAGGACCUGAUGAAGUUAUACAAUGAGGAUGUGCUUGUGAAGGGAAAGAUUUUCUUGGAAACUUACAAAUUUGGGAAGCUGCCGUGGAAGGCGUCAGGUGAUAUUGUGUACAACCGUCCUGUUGCAGUUGUAUGCGGCAGCUCUGAUGCGGGGCCUAGCACUCAUGCUAGGUUUUAUGAGCCUAUCUAUAGCCAGCUUCCUGCCUGUGAUGACGAGGCUGGAGUGGAAUCUUCUGGUGUCCAUGGAACUAGGGAUGAUGGAAUUGGUCAGACUGGUGUUGCUGCUUGUGAUGUGCACAAAGAGUCCUACGAUGGCUCUGGGAAGGAUGAGGUCUUGGUUGAUGCAUCGUCCCCUCCGGAUGUUGUAGCUGAUAAGCCCGGAGAAGAAAACGUGGAAGUUCACGUUGAUCUGAAUCAGGGCGGUUGUGCUGUUGAUGGUGGUGGUAGUGUUGAUGCUUCUGCAUCAGUUGCCGUCGACUGUGCAGGCCCUUCUGUAGCUCAAGAAUCCCAUGAUGCUGUUUCCCCUAGUCGGCAUGAAGAUUCUGAUUUUGGCAUUGGAAAGCCGCUGGAGAAUGUCGUCCCUGAUGUUAGUGUUGUUGCUUCCCCUAUUUGUCUGGUGGCCAACGAUGUUCCUGAAGUAUCAAGAAUGGAGCCUCAUGUAGCUGAAGUAUCUAAGGACGUUGCGGUUGAGCAGACUGUUGUAAAUCCAGAGAAUGCUGAUGUUGCUGCAGAAGGGCAGUCCAAUGACGAACUUCCUGUUGUGACACCGUCGAGCAUUGAUCCAGCUCUUCUGAAAAGAUACAAUGAGUUGUACGCUGCUGUUACGAGGGUUCGGAAGGACAAGAAGAAGAAGCAUGAUUGUGGAUUCUACAUGUUUCAAUUCUUGCAAACUUGGGAUGGUGUCCGAGUUGCUCAGUUUGGGGUGGAGCACAUUGGCUACAUCAAAAAGGCCAUGCUCUAUAGUUGGCUCACAUCGAAAAAGUGUUCCCUUGAUUUAACAUCACUUUUAAUUUUUGCAGAUAAAGGUUUUGAUGGGGGGCUUCAUGAAGGCUAUACGUCACUGUUCGAGUCCCAGGGUUCUGAGGUGGUUAUGGAGGAUUGUGCCAUUGAAAUGUCUCCAGAUAAUUCUUGUUCUUUGGCUGGAGAUGGUUUGAACACAGUUGUGGCGUCUCAACCUGAUGGUGGAAGUGUUUCUAGACCUAGCUCUCCACGCGAUGUAUUUGAUGAUGAUGAUUUUGUUACGCUGUGUCCUCGCGUCACUAGGACUAGGAGUGCAGCAAUUAAUCGUCCUACUGUGGAUGACGUUGAAAUAUUUUCGAACAAGAGGGAAGGUGAGAGGGCUUUUAAGUUGAGAUGCUCUAUAGAGAAAUUGAAGCCUCCGAGGUUCAAAUAUAUUGAUGAGGCGAGGAAAAUAAAGGAUCUUGUUCUCAGCAAAGAUUUUGUAACCAAAUACCACGAGAAUGCGUUCUUUAUGGUGAAUAGUCCUUUUGGUGAUCUUGAUACUUACACUGUUGACUAUAUCUAUAAUACAUUUGGCAAAGGAGCUUUAAUGGAUUCGUAUCUCAUCGAUUUUGUCAUCAAGUACUAG
This 2754-nucleotide ribosomal RNA is filed under the name Triticum aestivum (bread wheat). RNAcentral's name for it is "partial small subunit ribosomal RNA". The record is from RNAcentral. Lineage: Eukaryota; Viridiplantae; Streptophyta; Magnoliopsida; Poales; Poaceae.